RNAcentral lists this ribosomal RNA (229 nucleotides) under uncultured bacterium. Its description in RNAcentral is "partial 16S ribosomal RNA". It matches the Rfam family "Bacterial small subunit ribosomal RNA", at positions 568 to 796 of the family's 1533-position model. The record is from RNAcentral.
UGCGUAGGCGGCCAAAUUAGUCAGGGGUGAAAGCUCGCAGCUCAACUGCGGAAUUGCCUUUGAUACUGUUUGGCUUGAAUCAGGGUGAGGUCAGCGGAAUGUGGCAUGUAGCGGUGAAAUGCAUAGAUAUGCCAUAGAACACCAAUUGCGAAGGCAGCUGACUAGACCUGCAUUGACGCUGAGGCACGAAAGCGUGGGGAGCGAACAGGAUUAGAUACCCUGGUAGUCC